AUACAAUACAACCACCAACAUCUGAUUUAUGGCCCUUAUGACCCAUUUUAUGGACUUAUACUCAAAUGUCUUGAUGUGUAAAUUUUUAUAUUUUGGGUUUUUUCGUUACUUAGGCCUGUUUUAAGAUUAUAUUCAUUAUUUGUUCAUAACACUUUUACAAGUUUUCAUAAUUACUCUUUUUUCAUGUAUUGUUGAUAUUCUACUUAUUUUGUUCUAUUUUACUCCCUUCAAUCCAUCAAAAAGGACCAACUCAUAUAUGUUUCUUAAUGUUUAUCAUGGAUUCAUGAUUGCUUAGAAAGAGCUGCCAAAGCCGAGUUGUUUAGCCGGUGAGUUGACUUUUAGUUGAUAACUCACACAGCUGAUCUUACCUUGUCUCAUGAACGUCAUAAGAGUAGAGCCAAUGGAUCGACAGAGAAGAAAGCUAGAAAAAAACCGUUGGAGAGCUUGAACUGAAGCGGGUUUCCAUUUUGAUUUAUUGCUUGGCCUUAUAACAGUUUUAUUGUUGGACUUUACUUGAGCAGCUGUAUGUGGGCAUUAACUGUUUUCACUUUUACGCCCCCUCAAACUUGGCGAGGCAAUGGAAUCGACGAUGAGUUUGCCUCGGAGAAUGGAAAUGGAAGUGUUUGGUGAAGAUAUCGGUGAUCUGCUGCUGAGUUUGUAUGUGCUUCACUUCAAGAGUUCCAAAAGCAACACGUUCCCUGACAUAAAUAAUCAAGGGCAAAGUGUUUGGUCCUCGAGGAAAUGACGGAUUUGCAGAAAGAAGCACUGCU
Raphanus sativus (radish) is the source of this 770-nucleotide long non-coding RNA. RefSeq lists it as uncharacterized. NCBI's taxonomy places the organism in Eukaryota, Viridiplantae, Streptophyta, Magnoliopsida, Brassicales, Brassicaceae. The transcript is spliced from 2 exons. The record is from RefSeq and is a predicted model, not a curated record.